Molecule: ribosomal RNA, 2903 nt
Filed under: human oral metagenome
Description: bacterial LSU rRNA
Rfam family: Bacterial large subunit ribosomal RNA
Source: RNAcentral
GUAAGCUACUAAGAGUAAGUGGUGGAUGCCUUGGCUAGUAGAGGCGAUGAAAGACGUGCCAGGCUGCGAUAAGUCUCGGGGAGCCGUCAAGGGGCUUUGAUCCGGGAAUUUCUGAAUGGGGCAACCCAGUUAAGCGCGAGCUUAACUACCUAAUAUGGAGCGAACGAGGGGAAUUGAAACAUCUUAGUACCCUCAGGAAAAGAAAUCAAAAGAGAUUACGCCAGUAGCGGCGAGCGAACGCGUAAGAGGGCAAACCGUUAGUUUACUAACGGGGUUGUAGGACUGCGAUAUAGACUAAACUUAGCUAAUAGAAUAAUCUGGAAAGAUUAAGCAUAGAGGGUGAUACUCCCGUAUAUGAAAGCUUUGUUUUACUUAGCAGUAUCCUGAGUAGGGCGGAACACGUGAUAUUCUGUCUGAAGCUGGGUAGACCACUAUCCAACCCUAAAUACUACUACUAGACCGAUAGUGCACAAGUACCGUGAGGGAAAGGUGAAAAGAACUGAGGUGAUCAGAGUGAAAUAGAACCUGAAACCAUUUGCUUACAAUCAUUCAGAGCCCUAUGAUUUAUCAGGGUGAUGGACUGCCUUUUGCAUAAUGAGCCUGCGAGUUGUGAUGUCUGGCAAGGUUAAGGAAACCCGGAGCCGUAGCGAAAGCGAGUCUUAAUAGGGCGUUUAGUCAGACGUUGCAGACCCGAAACGAUGUGAUCUAUCCAUGAGCAGGUUGAAGCCGGUGUAAGAGCCGGUGGAGGACCGAACCCGCUAGCGUUGAAAAGCUAUGGGAUGACUUGUGGAUAGGGGUGAAAGGCCAAUCAAACAUCGUGAUAGCUGGUUCUCUCCGAAAUAUAUUUAGGUAUAGCGUCAUGUAGUAACACUAGGGGGUAGAGCACUGAAUGGGCUAGGGCAUACACCAAUGUACCAAACCCUAUCAAACUCCGAAUACCUAGUGCGUAAUCAUGGCAGUCAGGCGGCGAGUGAUAAAAUCCGUCGUCGAGAGGGGAACAACCCAGACUAACAGCUAAGGUCCCUAAAUCUCAUUUAAGUGGAAAACGAUGUGGAGUUACUUAAACAACCAGGAGGUUGGCUUAGAAGCAGCCAUCCUUUAAAGAAAGCGUAAUAGCUCACUGGUCUAGUGAUUCUGCGCGGAAAAUAUAACGGGGCUAAAAUGAGUACCGAAGCUUUAGACUUAGUUUUACUAAGUGGUAGGAGAGCGUUGUAUUUGCGUUGAAGGUAUACCGGUAAGGAGUGCUGGAGCGAAUACAAGUGAGCAUGCAGGCAUGAGUAGCGAUAAUUGGGGUGAGAAUCCCCAACGCCGUAAACCCAAGGUUUCCUACGCGAUGCUCGUCAUCGUAGGGUUAGCCGGGUCCUAAGCAAAGUCCGAAAGGGGUAUGCGAUGGAAAAUUGGUUAAUAUUCCAAUGCCAACUAUAAUGUGCGAUGGAAGGACGCUUAGAGUUAGAGGAGCCAGCGGAUGGUAGUGCUGGUCGAAAGGUGCAGGUUGGAGUUCAGGCAAAUCCGAACUCCUUUAAGCCGAGGCCUUAUAGGUGCGUGAAGUUCUUCGGAAUGAAUCGUAAAUCCUUGAUACUGUCGAGCCAAGAAAAGUUUCUAAGUUUAGUUAUAGUUGCCCGUACCGUAAACCGACACAGGUGGGUGGGAUGAGUAUUCUAAGGCGCGUGGAAGAACUCUCUUCAAGGAACUCUGCAAAAUAGCACCGUAUCUUCGGUAUAAGGUGUGCCUAACUUUGUGAAGGAUUUACUCCGUAAGCAUUGAAGGUUACAACAAAGAGUCCCUCCCGACUGUUUACCAAAAACACAGCACUCUGCUAACUCGUAAGAGGAUGUAUAGGGUGUGACGCCUGCCCGGUGCUCGAAGGUUAAUUGAUGACGUUAGCUCUGCGAAGCGUUUGAUCGAAGCCCGAGUAAACGGCGGCCGUAACUAUAACGGUCCUAAGGUAGCGAAAUUCCUUGUCGAUUAAAUAUCGACCUGCAUGAAUGGCGUAACGAGAUGGGAGCUGUCUCGAAGAGGGAUCCAGUGAAAUUGUAGUGGAGGUGAAAAUUCCUCCUACCCGCGGCAAGACGGAAAGACCCCGUGGACCUUUACUACAGCUUGACACUGCUAUUGGGAUAAAAAUGUGCAGGAUAGGCGGGAGGCUUUGAUCCAUAGACGCCAGUUUAUGGUGAGCCAUUGUUGAGAUACCGCUCUUUUUUAUUCUGAUAGCUAACUAGCUUGAGUUAUCCUCAAGUAGGACAAUGUCUGGUGGGUAGUUUGACUGGGGCGGUCGCCUCCCAAAAUGUAACGGAGGCUUACAAAGGUUGGCUCAGAACGGUUGGAAAUCGUUCGUAGAGUAUAAAGGCAUAAGCCAGCUUAACUGCGAGACAUACACGUCAAGCAGAGACGAAAGUCGGUCUUAGUGAUCCGGUGGUUCUGUGUGGAAGGGCCAUCGCUCAAAGGAUAAAAGGUACCCCGGGGAUAACAGGCUGAUCUCCCCCAAGAGCUCACAUCGACGGGGAGGUUUGGCACCUCGAUGUCGGCUCAUCGCAUCCUGGGGCUGGAGCAGGUCCCAAGGGUUGGGCUGUUCGCCCAUUAAAGCGGUACGCGAGCUGGGUUCAGAACGUCGUGAGACAGUUCGGUCCCUAUCUGCCGUGGGCGCAAGAAGAUUGAGGAGAGUUGACCCUAGUACGAGAGGACCGGGUUGAACCGACCACUGGUGUACCAGUUAUCCUGCCAAGGGUAGCGCUGGGUAGCUAUGUCGGGAUGAGAUAACCGCUGAAAGCAUCUAAGCAGGAAGCCAACUCCAAGAUGAAUCUUCUUUUAAGAGCUCAUAUAGACUAUGUGUUUGAUAGGCUGGGUGUGUAAUGGAUGAAAGUCCUUUAGCUGACCAGUACUAAUAGCUCGUCUGCUUAUCUUUU